UACGUAGGGGGCGAGCGUUGUCCGGAUUUAUUGGGCGUAAAGAGCUCGUAGGCGGCUCAGCAAGUCAGGUGUGAAAACUCCAGGCUCAACCUGGAGACGCCACCUGAUACUGCUGUGGCUAGAGUCCGGUAGGGGAGCAUGGAAUUCCUGGUGUAGCGGUGAAAUGCGCAGAUAUCAGGAGGAACACCAGUGGCGAAGGCGGUGCUCUGGGCCGGAACUGACGCUGAGGAGCGAAAGCGUGGGGAGCGAACAGG
RNAcentral lists this ribosomal RNA (254 nucleotides) under uncultured bacterium. Its description in RNAcentral is "partial 16S ribosomal RNA". It matches the Rfam family "Bacterial small subunit ribosomal RNA", at positions 524 to 776 of the family's 1533-position model. The record is from RNAcentral.